UACGUAGGGUCCGAGCGUUGUCCGGAAUUACUGGGCGUAAAGAGCUCGUAGGUGGUUUGUCGCGUUGUUCGUGAAAACUCACAGCUUAACUGUGGGCGUGCGGGCGAUACGGGCAGACUGGAGUACUGCAGGGGAGACUGGAAUUCCUGGUGUAGCGGUGGAAUGCGCAGAUAUCAGGAGGAACGCCGGUGGCGAAGGCGGGUCUCUGGGCAGUAACUGACGCUGAGAAGCGAAAGCGUGGGGAGCGAACAGG
Molecule: ribosomal RNA, 253 nt
Filed under: uncultured bacterium
Lineage: Bacteria
Description: partial 16S ribosomal RNA
Rfam family: Bacterial small subunit ribosomal RNA
Source: RNAcentral